UACUUAUAAUUUCCUAAAGACUGUAAGCUCGUUUGAGCAGGGCCCUCUUCAACCUAUUGUGCCCAUAAGUUUUUGUGAUUGUCUCAUUUAUUGUUAACUCUCCCCCUUUGAUAAUAUUGUAAAGCGCUGCGGAAUAUACUGGUAAAUACCAGUAAUAAUAAUAAUAAUAAUAUAAAGUGUGGCCUGUUUAACCCUGCAUACCUUUUUGUAUGACGC
Pelobates cultripes (western spadefoot toad) is the source of this 216-nucleotide non-coding RNA. The record is from the annotation of a GenBank genome assembly. NCBI's taxonomy places the organism in Eukaryota, Metazoa, Chordata, Amphibia, Anura, Pelobatidae.